ACUGAACAUGAACGGGAGUGGAGGCACAGGUGUAACUGAGGAGAGUAUGACCUUUGGAGGAUGUGGCCAUUAACUUCUCCCAGGAGUGGGCGCUCCUGGAUGAGACUCAGAGGCUCGUGCAGCACAAUGUGAUGCUGGAGAACUGUGCACUGACUGUAUCCAUGGCACAGAGACAGGGUGAUACCUCCAUGUUUCAGGUUCUGUCCCCUUCCUCUGGGUGACAUUUCCUAGGAGCCGUCUCUGCUAUGAACUGCACAUGUUGUCACGGAUCACUGUUUACACGAACCAGGUUUAUGACAGGAAUGUCUUUCUCAAUACGCUGGAAGCCAUCUCUUUAAACUGAAAACAUCCUGAAAGCCUUUUUGUGAAACACAGACUUCGUGAGAGAGAGCUCUCCAAUCUCCCAGUUCCAGUGAAGGGAAGGAGCCAACCCUCAGUGCUCCCCUUUCUCCAAUUUGGAAAACAACCUCCUGUCACAAGGAAAUGUUUGCCUUUCCUCUGAAUGAAGCCAAAAAGCUUCCAGAGAGUCACAACUACUGGGUAAAGUUAGGCACUCUGUGUGACAAAUGGUGCUGUCAAGUCCUCUUACUUAAAAACUUGUUAUUGUUUAUCUUGAACAUACAUAUGUAAUGGGUUCUAUCUGCUUGUCUAUACAGAAAAGUGAGAUUAUUUUUCUGUCUGCAGUUUCUUAGCAGAUUGCCUGUAAUGCACAUCAAACUCUGGUUUCAUGCUUAAUUAAUAAUAAACCUGUUUUGUCUCUACUACUACUGUAAAGAGGAUUUCUGGAUUGGGAAAAUAUUUUGUUCUUAUUUCCCCGAAAGUCAACAUCACCCACCUGUCUGUUGAGACCAAAUCUCCUCACCCAUUUCAUCAAUGUCUAGUGCACAGGAUUAU
Molecule: long non-coding RNA, 894 nt
Organism: Equus caballus (horse)
Lineage: Eukaryota; Metazoa; Chordata; Mammalia; Perissodactyla; Equidae
Source: RefSeq, a predicted model, not a curated record